RNAcentral lists this long non-coding RNA (463 nucleotides) under Panax ginseng (ginseng). Its description in RNAcentral is "long non-coding RNA (PGIN_LNC014674)". Lineage: Eukaryota; Viridiplantae; Streptophyta; Magnoliopsida; Apiales; Araliaceae. The record is from RNAcentral.
UUGGCUAUAAUUCAACAAUAUAAUUACGAACUAGCAUGAACAAACUUUUGACUGAAUAAACAUUAAACAUGAACAAAUAUAUCUGAACCGAAUGGUAAUGAAGGUGAUCAGCCAUUCAUACCUGACUUAUACAUACAAUAUGUACAGAGUACAAUUCUACAUGGCAAUCAACAAUGAUUAACCAUAAGCAUAUCUAAAUGUAACAACUCUUAGUAGAGUUAAGAAAAACUUGCAUGCACCGUUGAUUACCGUUACGAAAUAUAACUUAGCUUUAUCCGAAGACCUAAUAUAGAUAAUACCGAUCUCCAAAUAUUAGAAUAAUAUCAUCACACUAUAAAAUAACCUAAACACAUUACCACAUAAUCCUAUCAGUCUAUACAGCACAUAAGACCUAGUAUCGAGUCAAACUAUUACAGUCUGAGUUGUGUUCGGUACUAUUAUUACAUCCCGACGGCCUAGUCGG